GCGAGACAGGUGACCGCGCGGGGGAGUGCGACCGAUAAACUGGUCGAGGACGACGCCGAGCGCAGCUCUCGGCACGUCCGCCAAUGAUCAGCCAGCAGCCGCUGCAACCACAGGGAG
RNAcentral lists this small RNA (117 nucleotides) under Streptomyces alboflavus. RNAcentral's name for it is "Streptomyces-metK RNA". It matches the Rfam family "Streptomyces-metK RNA". The record is from Rfam by way of RNAcentral. Lineage: Bacteria; Bacillati; Actinomycetota; Actinomycetes; Kitasatosporales; Streptomycetaceae.